RNAcentral lists this ribosomal RNA (253 nucleotides) under uncultured bacterium. RNAcentral's name for it is "partial 16S ribosomal RNA". It matches the Rfam family "Bacterial small subunit ribosomal RNA", at positions 524 to 776 of the family's 1533-position model. The record is from RNAcentral.
GACAGAGGGUGCAAACGUUGUUCGGAAUGACUGGGCGUAAAGCGCAUGUAGGCGGUCCGAUAGGUCGGAUGUGAAAGCCCCGGGCUCAACCCGGGAAGAGCAUUCGAAACCAUUGGGCUUGAGUGCUCGAGAGGAAAGUGGAAUUCUCGGUGUAGAGGUGAAAUUCGUAGAUAUCGAGAGGAACACCAGCGGCGAAAGCGGCUUUCUGGAGGGACACUGACGCUGAGAUGCGAAAGCAUGGGGAGCAAACAGG